RNAcentral lists this ribosomal RNA (430 nucleotides) under Pseudomonadota bacterium. RNAcentral's name for it is "Proteobacteria bacterium partial 16S ribosomal RNA". It matches the Rfam family "Bacterial small subunit ribosomal RNA", at positions 355 to 776 of the family's 1533-position model. Lineage: Bacteria; Pseudomonadati; Pseudomonadota. The record is from RNAcentral.
UGGGGAAUAUUGGACAAUGGGGGGAACCCUGAUCCAGCCAUGCCGCGUGUGUGAAGAAGGCCUUAUGGUUGUAAAGCACUUUAAGCGAGGAGGAGGGUACUGGUAUUAAUACUACCAGGUACUGGACGUUACUCGCAGAAUAAGCACCGGCUAACUCUGUGCCAGCAGCCGCGGUAAUACAGAGGGUGCGAGCGUUAAUCGGAUUUACUGGGCGUAAAGCGUGCGUAGGCGGCUAAUUGAGUCGGAUGUGAAAUCCCCGAGCUUAACUUGGGAAUUGCAUUCUAUACUGGUUAGCUAGAGUGUGGUAGAGGAUGGUAGAAUUCCAGGUGUAGCGGUGAAAUGCGUAGAGAUCUGGAGGAAUACCGAUGGCGAAGGCAGCCAUCUGGCAUAACACUGCCGCUGAGGUACGAAAGCAUGGGGAGCAAACAGG